Molecule: ribosomal RNA, 338 nt
Filed under: uncultured Bacteroides sp.
Lineage: Bacteria; Pseudomonadati; Bacteroidota; Bacteroidia; Bacteroidales; Bacteroidaceae
Description: bacterial SSU rRNA
Rfam family: Bacterial small subunit ribosomal RNA
Source: RNAcentral
CUCUUGGCCAGCCUUCUGAAAGGAAGAUUAAUCCAGGAUGGGAUCAUGAGUUCACAUGUCCGCAUGAUUAAAGGUAUUUUCCGGUAGACGAUGGGGAUGCGUUCCAUUAGAUAGUAGGCGGGGUAACGGCCCACCUAGUCAACGAUGGAUAGGGGUUCUGAGAGGAAGGUCCCCCACAUUGGAACUGAGACACGGUCCAAACUCCUACGGGAGGCAGCAGUGAGGAAUAUUGGUCAAUGGGCGAUGGCCUGAACCAGCCAAGUAGCGUGAAGGAUGACUGCCCUAUGGGUUGUAAACUUCUUUUAUAAAGGAAUAAAGUCGGGUAUGCAUACCCGUUU